UACGUAGGGUGCAAGCGUUGUCCGGAUUUAUUGGGCGUAAAGAGUUCGUAGGUGGUGGCUUAAGUCUGGUGUUAAAUACCGAAGCUCAACUUCGGCAUGGCAUUGGAAACUGGGUCGCUAGAGUCCGUCAGAGGUAACUGGAAUUCCUGGUGUAGCGGUGAAAUGCGUAGAUAUCAGGAGGAACACCGGUGGCGAAAGCGAGUUACUGGGACGGUACUGACGCUGAGGAACGAAAGCCUGGGUAGCGAAAGGG
Molecule: non-coding RNA, 253 nt
Filed under: uncultured cyanobacterium
Lineage: Bacteria; Bacillati; Cyanobacteriota
Also listed under: 1 other name
Description: contains 16S-23S intergenic spacer region
Rfam family: Bacterial small subunit ribosomal RNA
Source: RNAcentral